This 660-nucleotide long non-coding RNA is filed under the name Fukomys damarensis (Damara mole-rat). Its description in RNAcentral is "lncRNA (ENSFDAG00000022633.1)". Lineage: Eukaryota; Metazoa; Chordata; Mammalia; Rodentia; Bathyergidae. The record is from RNAcentral.
GUAAAAAUAGCCUUCUCCAUGAAGUUCAGACCCCUCCCCAUAGAAGAUAAGGGCAGGACAUACCCACAGAAGAUUCGAAUGGAAGGACCUUGCCAAAGGUGGGACUGACUCUGGGAAAAGCCAGUCUCAGGUAGUUUAUUUCGAUGGAAGAGACAGAGCACUUCCUGUUUUCUAGCUAUACCCAUCCUUGCCACCAUGAGAUUCCACACUACACUGAAUCCAUCUUUACUUUCGCAGCUGCAGAUUCACAAGAAGCAACUGCUCCUCGCUCACAGCCAGGGACACCAGCACAUGGACAGCCAGUAACAGUCCAACACAGCCUGGUACUGGACUCCUCCUGGGUCACUAACCAAGCCACCAGCCCUUUCUCCAUCAACUGCUGUGCUGCUCUUCUAGAAAACUACAUAUGGAGGUGGGCUGUAUUGAGGCAACAGGAUAGCAUGACGGACCUUCAGGUCUCGAGAGAGGUGUAAGCCAUGUGUGGAGGUAACAAGGUAACAAGAUACUCCACUCAACAGCUCUGGAAGAGAAUCUGAAACCUACAGCCAGCCUCUAAGACUGAGCACCAAGUAAUAUCACAUAGGGCAGAGAAACCUGCUGGCUGAGCCUGUCUGCCCACAGAAAUGUGUGAGAGAGAAUAAAAUAAUUGCUGUCUAAACC